ACUGAUUCGCAGCUGAACAUGACAGUAAAAUGUUAUAAAUUGCGUUGUAUUGGAAAAUCAAACGAACACUGUGAUAUUAUCGCCAUGCAUCCAGAAUACAGCAACUACUCCAACAAACAAUAUAUCCCUAACCAAUAUUAUUACCCAAUGGCAGCAUAUGCGCCUCCAAUUGCACAACAAACAAACCGAAUUUAUGUGAACAAGAAUUUUAUGCAGCCGCCUGUCAGUAACACAGUUCUAGUGAAUCCAAACUUCAGCAGACAAGUUCAUGUUAAUCCGAAUUUUCUAAACCCAAGACCGUCUUUGUCAACCCAAAUGUGUUUAAUAAAGUUGGUGGUGCCAUGCAGCCUCCUAAAACUGCA
Dalotia coriaria is the source of this 362-nucleotide long non-coding RNA. RefSeq lists it as uncharacterized. The record is from RefSeq and is a predicted model, not a curated record. The transcript has 2 exons. NCBI's taxonomy places the organism in Eukaryota, Metazoa, Arthropoda, Insecta, Coleoptera, Staphylinidae.